Molecule: ribosomal RNA, 552 nt
Filed under: Diaporthe melonis var. brevistylospora
Lineage: Eukaryota; Fungi; Ascomycota; Sordariomycetes; Diaporthales; Diaporthaceae
Description: eukaryotic LSU rRNA
Rfam family: Eukaryotic large subunit ribosomal RNA
Source: RNAcentral
CGGCGAGUGAAGCGGCAACAGCUCAAAUUUGAAAUCUGGCCUCGGCCCGAGUUGUAAUUUGCAGAGGAUGCUUCUGGCGCGGUGCCUUCCGAGUUCCCUGGAACGGGACGCCACAGAGGGUGAGAGCCCCGUAUGGUCGGACACCAAGCCUGUGUGAAGCUCCUUCGACGAGUCGAGUAGUUUGGGAAUGCUGCUCUAAAUGGGAGGUAAAUCUCUUCUAAAGCUAAAUACCGGCCAGAGACCGAUAGCGCACAAGUAGAGUGAUCGAAAGAUGAAAAGCACCUUGAAAAGGGGGUUAAAUAGUACGUGAAAUUGUUGAAAGGGAAGCACUUAUGACCAGACUUGGGCCGGGCGGCUCAUCAGGGGUUCUCCCCUGUGCACUCCGCCCGGCACAGGCCAGCAUCGGUUUUCGCGGGGGGAUAAGACCGACGGGAACGUAGCACCCUCCGGGGUGUGUUAUAGCCCGGCGGACGAUACCCUCGCGGGGACCGAGGACCGCGCUUCGGCAAGGAUGCUGGCGUAAUGGUCAUCAGUGACCCGUCUUGAAACACC